This 359-nucleotide ribosomal RNA is filed under the name Brachybacterium sp. RNAcentral describes it as "bacterial SSU rRNA". It matches the Rfam family "Bacterial small subunit ribosomal RNA", at positions 464 to 822 of the family's 1533-position model. The record is from RNAcentral. Lineage: Bacteria; Bacillati; Actinomycetota; Actinomycetes; Micrococcales; Dermabacteraceae.
GAAAAGUGACGGUACCUGCAGAAGAAGCGCCGGCUAACUACGUGCCAGCAGCCGCGGUAAUACGUAGGGCGCAAGCGUUGUCCGGAAUUAUUGGGCGUAAAGAGCUUGUAGGUGGCUUGUCGCGUCUGCCGUGAAAACCCGAGGCUCAACCUCGGGCGUGCGGUGGGUACGGGCAGGCUAGAGUGUGGUAGGGGAGACUGGAACUCCUGGUGUAGCGGUGAAAUGCGCAGAUAUCAGGAAGAACACCGAUGGCGAAGGCAGGUCUCUGGGCCAUUACUGACACUGAGAAGCGAAAGCAUGGGUAGCGAACAGGAUUAGAUACCCUGGUAGUCCAUGCCGUAAACGUUGGGCACUAGGUG